CUACGCACUCCUACGGGAGGCAGCAGUGGGGAAUAUUGCACAAUGGGCGCAAGCCUGAUGCAGCCAUGCCGCGUGUAUGAAGAAGGCCUUCGGGUUGUAAAGUACUUUCAGCAGUGAGGAAGGUGGAUAUGUUAAUAGCAUAUUCAUUUGACGUUAGCUGCAGAAGAAGCACCGGCUAACUCCGUGCCAGCAGCCGCGGUAAUACGGAGGGUGCGAGCGUUAAUCGGAAUUACUGGGCGUAAAGCGCAUGCAGGUGGUUUGUUAAGUCAGAUGUGAAAGCCCGGGGCUCAACCUCGGAAUUGCAUUUGAAACUGGCAAACUAGAGUACUGUAGAGGGGGUAGAAUUUCAGGUGUAGCGGUGAAAUGCGUAGAGAUCUGAAGGAAUACCGGUGGCGAAGGCGGCCCCCUGGACAGAUACUGACACUCAGAUGCGAAAGCGUGGGGAGCAAACAGGAUUAGAUACCCUGGUAG
RNAcentral lists this ribosomal RNA (471 nucleotides) under uncultured bacterium. RNAcentral describes it as "bacterial SSU rRNA". It matches the Rfam family "Bacterial small subunit ribosomal RNA", at positions 329 to 793 of the family's 1533-position model. The record is from RNAcentral.